GUGCUCGCUUCAGCAGCACAUAUAUUAAAACUGGAACGGUACAGAGAAGAUUAGCAUGGCCCCUGCUCAAGGAUGACACACAAAUUCAUUAAGUGUUCCAUUUUUUU
Microtus ochrogaster (prairie vole) is the source of this 107-nucleotide small nuclear RNA. Lineage: Eukaryota; Metazoa; Chordata; Mammalia; Rodentia; Cricetidae. The record is from Ensembl.